RNAcentral lists this ribosomal RNA (495 nucleotides) under uncultured bacterium. Its description in RNAcentral is "partial 16S ribosomal RNA". It matches the Rfam family "Bacterial small subunit ribosomal RNA", at positions 28 to 507 of the family's 1533-position model. The record is from RNAcentral.
GACGAACGCUGGCGGCGUGCCUAAUACAUGCAAGUAGAACGCUGAAGGAGGAGCUUGCUUCUCUGGAUGAGUUGCGAACGGGUGAGUAACGCGUAGGUAACCUGCCUGGUAGCGGGGGAUAACUAUUGGAAACGAUAGCUAAUACCGCAUAAUAGUAGAUGUUGCAUGACAUUUGCUUAAAAGGUGCAAUUGCAUCACUACCAGAUGGACCUGCGUUGUAUUAGCUAGUUGGUGGGGUAACGGCUCACCAAGGCGACGAUACAUAGCCGACCUGAGAGGGGUAUCGGCCACACUGGGACUGAGACACGGCCCAGACUCCUACGGGAGGCAGCAGUAGGGAAUCUUCGGCAAUGGACGGAAGUCUGACCGAGCAACGCCGCGUGAGUGAAGAAGGUUUUCGGAUCGUAAAGCUCUGUUGUAAGAGAAGAACGAGUGUGAGAGUGGAAAGUUCACACUGUGACGGUAUCUUACCAGAAAGGGACGGCUAACUACGUG